CUCCUUUACUACGGUAACGGUUUUCGCCAACCCGCCAGGACUCCAAAAAGGCUGUCCCUCUUUAUGACAAAAUCGGACAAGGGGAAAUGCACCGGCCGGGGGGUUGGCAGCGAGCCUGGACGGUGGUGGCAGCCACAGCCCCGCGCCCCAGCCGGGCAGCGAACGUGGCGCCAUCCAGCACCUUCCCCGGGAACCACGCGCAGCGUCUCGGCCUCGGCCGCUGCGGAGCUCGGAGCUUGUCUGGACCUGCUGGGAAGAGGGACGGACAUCUCCACGAUGGAGGCCUGCGGGUUGGCUGUGGUUCAUCUGAUUGGACAGCAUCUUACCGUUUGGGGAGUUCAGAUGGGGGAUACCUGUAUACAUGUGGAGGCUCCUACACCACUCCUGUGCCAGCAGUGUCUUGUAACUUCCCACGUACGGAGAAGCUGCCCACCUUCCUAAAGGUGUUGGGGACGUGGAUGGGAGGAGGGCCACCAUCCACAGGCAAGGGCUUUUCCUAACACGGCCAGCCCUCCCUCGUCCACUGAGACCAACUCAACAACAACAACAACAACAAAAAGCACGUGUGGAAAGAGAUGCAAACCAAAGGAUCCUUCAAUGGAGAAAUGUCAGAGGUCUGGACUGACUUUGAGGCACUGACUUUUGUGAUUUACUUAAUGCCAAACAAAGUCAUUGUUAAUUGGCACUUGAAGAAAGAACUGCAUAUAUUGAGAACCAGCACCGUGGCAGGUACUGUCCUCAGUGGUUUACGAACGCUCUUUCAUUGAGCACUCACAACAAACGUGUAAAGAGAAUGUAGUCAUCCUCGGCUUCCAGAUGGGAACCUGAGAGGUGGUAAAUGAUCAUCCUAAAGUUUCCCAGAGUUGUUAGCAAGCGGCAGAGCCUGGGUUCGAAUCCAGCAAUAGCCUAUGUCAGACCCUGUGCCCUCUCCGCGAAACUACCUGGCUUCCCACGUGGUCCGGACAUUCCCAGGAUACACUUCCAUACCUUCCUAGGUACCAGAAGCAGGAAGCACGUUUCCUGUGUGGUCAAAAGCAGCAGGGGUUCCUAAAUUUUAACGUGCGUGCAAAUCACCUGAGGCCUGGCUGAAACGAAGAUCCUGAGGCAGUAGGUCUGGAGUAGGUCCUCAGAACCCUCAUUUUGAACAAGCUACCAGGUGAUGCUGGCACUGCCAGUCCUUGGAUGACACUUUGAGUAGCAAGUGUGAAGGGCAAGACUGGAAUCCAUUAUUAUGGAGUCACAUCUCAGACUUAAAAUAGAAACGUGGACGUAUUUUGCACUCCUACAUCUACCUUUGUCAGAGAUACGUAUCAUAGGUUUUGUUUUGUUUUGUUUUGUUUUGUUUUGUUUUGUUUUGUUUUGUUUUGUUUUGUUUUCCAGUCUGAAGCUUUGCCUUUUCAUGGUGCAUUGAUGGCAUUUUUUUUUUGAAAAGAAGUCUUUCAUUUUGGGGAAAUCUAGUUUCUUUUCUUUUAUGGUUAGUGCGUAUCAUUUUCUAAGGGA
This 1500-nucleotide long non-coding RNA is filed under the name Felis catus (domestic cat). Its description in RNAcentral is "lncRNA (ENSFCAG00000045114.2)". The record is from RNAcentral. Lineage: Eukaryota; Metazoa; Chordata; Mammalia; Carnivora; Felidae.